Molecule: ribosomal RNA, 515 nt
Filed under: uncultured Lachnospiraceae bacterium
Lineage: Bacteria; Bacillati; Bacillota; Clostridia; Lachnospirales; Lachnospiraceae
Description: partial 16S ribosomal RNA
Source: RNAcentral
CACGUAGUUAGCCGGGGCUUCUUAGUCAGGUACCGUCAUUUUCUUCCCUGCUGAUAGAAGUUUACAUACCGAAAUACUUCAUCCUUCGCGCGGCGUCGCUGCAUCAGGGUUUCCCCCAUUGUGCAAUAUUCCCCACUGCUGCCUCCCGUAGGAGUUUGGGCCGUGUCUCAGUCCCAAUGUGGCCGUUCACCCUCUCAGGCCGGCUACUGAUCGUCGCCUUGGGUGGGCCGUUACCCCACCAACUAGCUAAUCAGACGCGGGUCCAUCUCAUACCACCGGAGUUUUUCACACUCGAUCAUGCGAUCACGUGUGCUUAUGCGGUAUUAGCAGUCAUUUCUAACUGUUAUCCCCCUGUAUGAGGCAGGUUACCCACGCGUUACUCCACCCGCCCGCCACUCAGUCACUUAACGCUUCCUUACCGAAGAACUUCCACUUCAAGCGUCUUCGUUCGACUUGCAGUGUGUUAAGCCACGCCGCCAGCGUUCAUCCGUGAGCCGAGAGUACAAACUCUUACG